GUGCCAGCAGCCGCGGUAAUACAGGGAGUGCAAGCGUUGUUCGGAAUUACUGGGCGUAAAGGGAGCGUAGGCGGAGCUACAAGUCAGGGGUUAAAGAUCCGGGCUCAACCUGGAAAGUGCCUUUGAGACUGUAGUUCUUGAGUAUGGCAGAGGCUAGCGGAAUUACCGGUGUAGCGGUGGAAUGCGUAGAUAUCGGUAAGAACACCAGAGGCGAAGGCGGCUAGCUGGGCCAAUACUGACGCUGAGGCUCGAAAGUGUGGGGAGCAAACAGGAUUAGAUACCCUGGUAGUCCAC
This 294-nucleotide ribosomal RNA is filed under the name uncultured bacterium. Its description in RNAcentral is "partial 16S ribosomal RNA". It matches the Rfam family "Bacterial small subunit ribosomal RNA", at positions 505 to 798 of the family's 1533-position model. The record is from RNAcentral.